AUUUCCUUCCAGUUUUCAGACCAAUUCAAUUUCUAAGUUGACUGUAACGUGUAACUGUUGAAUUUUCUACCAAAAUGAAUCCGAAAUUUGGUUUACUCGUUGUUCUCCUUGUUUUGGGAGCUUUUCACUAUUCUUCGGUGGAAGCUCAGGGAACAUUUGUCGACGCGUGUAACGAAGUGUGCAACCGGAGUCCACCAGAACGGAAGGAAUGUUGUCGAGCUCACGGGUACCCUCUGGGCAGAAGGUUUAACUGCAAUGGGGGCAGAAUGAUGUGCUACUGAGCAAGGAAACAAUACAAUUAAAUUAAAUAAAUUAAGGCUGUAUCGACAUUGUCAAAAUUUGAUAAAAAUAAUGCGGUAGUCAGUAAAUAUUUUUGUGAAAAAACAUUCACCAGACAUUUUAAAAAUCAUGGAUAUUUAUUUAGAAUCGAUGAAAAUUCUCUGCUUAAUUAAUUUUAGUAAAAUGACGUAAUUAGUUAAAACACAUCUAUAUUAUGUAUCUGUGGUAUUUAUCUAAAAAAGAAUAAACUCUUUUUGCCCCUCUGGAAAA
Long non-coding RNA from Folsomia candida, 549 nucleotides. RefSeq lists it as uncharacterized. The record is from RefSeq and is a predicted model, not a curated record. NCBI's taxonomy places the organism in Eukaryota, Metazoa, Arthropoda, Collembola, Entomobryomorpha, Isotomidae. The transcript is spliced from 2 exons.